AUCGAUCGCACCGCAACGUUGCCCGAGAAUAGAAAUUUUAAGCAAAGCUAGAAUCCAGCUCGAAGCCACAAGUGUCCCAAAAAUUGUAUGCCCCUUAAAAGCAGGCACCCUUAACUCUCCUCCUCCUGAACCCAAAGUAGAAAUUGACGUGGAUUUUUUUAAAUAAUAUUAUAUCUAAGUCAUAAAAUUUAUUUAUUAAUCGUCUCCGGUCAAUUUUUAAAUAUGUUUGUGCGGCCAGUCCUACCCCAGAGCAUGUCGGUCUCCGCCCCGAUCCGGCCCCAGCCCAGGCAACGGCACGAAGUCCAUGAGGAAAAAAGGUUUAUAAAUUUACUGACUUAUUGCGCUUGCAUUAGUGACUUCAAAAUCUAGGCUAAGGCUUUCAAAGAAUGUUUAUUAUUAUUAUUUUUUUUUUUUUCCUAAAUACGAUAUUCCUAACGGCGGUAAUUUAAUUUCAAAAUGGAUUGAAUCGAAUCAAAAUUGGAGUCUCGUAUCCGAUUGAUUCGUUUGAAAUGCCGGCAUACCUUGGUAAAUUGUAAAUAUAAGUGUUUUCUUGUGCGUUUCGUUUUCCGCCUCCCUGGGAACACAGGCAGGAAAACAGCAAAAGAAAAUGAAUGAACACGCACGCACCUCACAAAGAAGAGAUGAACGCGAAGAGAAGUGAAACAACAAAAGAUACAGAUAUACAUAUAUAACAUAGAUAAGCAGUGAGAGCAGCAGUGCUGGUAAGCGGCAAAAAGAGUCGCUGGUGGCACGAGAGAGAGCGAGACAGCGAUAGGUAGAGUUAGAUUCCAACUAACGGUAAACAACAACAACAGCAACAAAAAAGCACUUGCGAAAUGGAACGGGACAGAUGGAUAAGCGAAGAGCAGAGAGAAGAGGGGCAUAUAAGAUUUGUUUCAAACAAUUAUUUGUGAUUUUAAAACAUGAAAUGAUAAAAGUGUAUUCAAAGGACUAGACAACAUAAUAAUCUUAAAUUAAUAAAAACAACAAACAAACAAAAAGCAUACCAAAGCGUGCAGUGCCGUACCCGGAGUAUGAUCCGAAAGAACACACAGAAAACCAACUAACAAAAAUUGCAUCAUGACAAGGCAAUAGAAACACUAUAUAUAUAUAUAUAAAUAUAUAUAUGUAUAUCAACAAAUAUUACAUUAUUACUAUGCUAUUAUUUAUGCAAACAGAAUAAUUCAAAUUAUUUAUGUGUAAAAUAAAAAAACAAAGGAAAACCACAAAUUCAAGUCGAUUGUGCGAACAAAAUAUAUCAAUUCAAUAUUCCCAUAUGUUGAUGGUAUAGUAUAUAGUACUAUAUCUAUUUAUAUAUAUUUAUGUGUGUAUAUAAAUGAUUAAACAGCCGUUAACUCAAAUAUCCCAUAAGAAUAUCGGGACUAUCCAUGAAUCCUUUUCCAGCCAAGCCAACUCCCCACAUCUUUAAGUUUAAGGUUAUGUGGGGGCGAUCAUCGAUUAGCGAUUACCGGUCGCCACCCCAGAGCUGUAUUCCACACUAUAUCCCACUCCCCCCAGAGUUGUAUUGUAUUCCAAGCCGUGAGAAACAAGAAGUACCGUAAGGGCGGAACACGCAGCCCCCAUCCUUGCUUCUAACCGUUCGAUCGAAAACGUGGGAGCUUGAAUCUGUUUAAAAUUGAAAAUAAAUUAUAUUUGAUGUAGAAUUCA
RNAcentral lists this small RNA (1668 nucleotides) under Drosophila pseudoobscura pseudoobscura. Its description in RNAcentral is "GA31424". Lineage: Eukaryota; Metazoa; Arthropoda; Insecta; Diptera; Drosophilidae. The record is from RNAcentral.